GUUUUUUUUUUGUAUCACCUUUAAGGAACUGGUUCAAUCAAUCCUGUGCCCUUCGGGGAAACAAUAGUUCACUCAUCUCUAACCCCAAAAAUCAGUAAUCACCUUGCCUAAGAGCACUGUUUGCUUCCCAAAGUUCACAACUCUAAAUGUACGAACAUCAAGAGUGUCUUCUUAUCCAAGAGAUUCAAAGGAAGGUUAUCCAUAGUCAUUUUAUUUACUACCGAUAGUCAGAUUGACCAGCUUUGACUUAACAUAAUCUUAGGAGGAACAUAUUUCUUGACUUGCUUCUUUGGUCGUUUUUAUUGAGAUUUAUCUUUGCAUUUUUUUCUUUGGCCAUAAUCUCCUCAUCUGUAAUUUAAUUAGAGUCAGUAAGAGAAAAAAAUUUCUUCAACAUCAUUUGUAGAGGAACAUGUUCUUCCAACCUAUUCCCCAUACAUAGUACUAUCAGAUGCAACACCAACUAUAAUAAUUUUUUACAUCAACCCUAAAUCUCAGUUUAUAUGGAUCCCAAUAGAAGAACUAGGUUCGAUAGAGGGGUCUCCCAUUGAUUCCCCCGCCAGCUAGAAGAGAAAUAGGAUAUAGGUGAGCAUAUUAGGCUCUUUUUUUUCAUAUUUAUAUUGCAAUUCGACUGAUCUAUUAUUAUUUUUUUAAUUCCAUUUAAUGAUAAUUUGAGAGAGUUCAUAUAAGAUUACAAAUUUAAGUCUUAAACUAUGGACUCACUAGAUGCACCCAAGUUGAGCCUAACAACUGAAUUUUGUUCGACUAUAGGGUCCCCAAAAUAGUCCCCCUCACAAGGUACAUCCUCAAAAACUUCCUAAGUAAUUUUAGACACACCCAAUACAGAUUCCCCCUAAGAACCAGCACAACCUACUUUCUACACCACAACCUAUAUUUUAUAAGGAACCAAAGUAGAGGUGUCGUCCACCGAAGUCAUCUCAUCCAAAACAUUAUAUAGACCAUCACACUUAGAAUCUCCAAGAAUGUCAUUAAGAAACAUAAAUUGUAAUUAAUCAAGCAUAGACAUGUUUCUUGAAGAACACUUUAUUCCACAAUUUUAGAAAAAGAGGAUUUCUUGGUUAAGAAGUUUAUGGAAGAGAAGGGUGUGAGUUGUAGAGACACACUAGGAUAAGGCUUUAAAUAGGCUUUAUAAGAAAAUGUUUGUUUAGUAGUAUUGAGGACAUGAAUAUAUCUUUUGGGACAAGUGGAGGGAACAGGUACAUGUGCAUUGAUUUUAUAUUUAAUUAUGAAUAAUUGUAGUGCACAUACCUUAGAUCUCUGGAAAAUUGCUGAAUUUUUGCUCCAAUUUUACUAAGCCUCUCUCCUGUGACAGAUGCAAAUACAAUGUUAUAGUGCAUGAGUAGCUUGGCUUUAAAAGUGUUAUAGAAACAUACAACUAAAUGUACAAGACUGAGCAUAAAAUUCAUGAUUAGAAGGAAUUAUGCGCAAUGUUCAUUAGGCACUGAGGGAUACUCAUGUGAUUUUAAUUAUCCCCAAGUUCCAACAUGUUCCUUUAAAAGUGUUUCUUUAGUCUUACCUACUUUUCCAACUUCUUUGAUUUGACCAAAAAGAAUUUUCACCACAAAAACUACUAUUCCAUCCUUUUUUUCUGCAGGUGAGAGGAAUUUCUGCUAGUUUCAAUCAUGUGUCUCGAGCAACAGGUGUUCAUAUAGAAUGUUGCUUGCUUCCUCUCACUUUUCCUGCAAAUUCAAAGGUUAGAUUUAGGAACCCAAACUAGCUUGGGUCUUUUAUAUUGAUAAAAAGGAUGAAUAAGAUCUCUAUUGAUCCAUAUUGGUAAAACAUUUUAAAAAAAUUUCUUUUGCCCCAACCUGUUCCUUUGACAUGAUUCAUUUCUUUUAACAUGGUUGAUUUUUCUAUUUGAGACAACUUUGAAGUUUUUAUUCAUGUGAGUUAUAACUAUUGGGCAGGUACCCCUUGAAUGACCAAUACUACCACAAUGUGUGCACAAAGAAGAGGUUUUCUUAGGGACUUCUUUAACAAAACCUAUUCCAGCUUUAGUGUUAUGUGUUCUAUUACUGAGCUGAGUCACAAUCAUUGAGGACAAAGUCCAUUUGUUUGCCCUCUCAAGCUUAUACUUAGUUCUAGCCAGGUCAAGAUUUAUUCUUCUAGAUUUUUCCCUUUCAGAAAAUAGUUCAAUCUUUUAACCUCUUUAGAUCUUGGUCACAUCUGAUUUGGUCACCACUAAUUUUUUCUUUCCCAUUCCCAGUAACACUUUGUUUCAAAAUUUCAGAUUUGAGAGCCAAAAGUGCAUGAAUCAAGUUGUUGUACCUGUUCCUUUAGGAAUUGAUUUUCUUUCUUAAGAUCAGAAUUAAUCUUUUCAAGAUCAAUAUAUUCAAAUUUUAAACUGGUCAAGGAAGUCAAUAACUGAUCUUUAUUUUCAUUCAACUCUUGAAAAUUAUCUAUGAGAGUUAGAAUAAGGGAAAAUAUUUUUUUCUUAGAAAAACAUUCUAGUUUAUUUUGAAGGUCAAGAAGAUUUGCCUCCCUUUGAUCAAUGUCUCAUUUAGAGUCCUCCAUGGCCAUCAAAGCAACAUCUUCUGUAUCAUCUUUAAUUGAGUUGUUUGAACAUGUUCCCCAAGCAGCAUACAUAGCUUCCACCUUUCUUGAGGAACUUUCUGAGGUUUUUUGUUGAUCACGGCUACGUCCUCAUCAUCCAGAUCAGAUUCAUCACUCUCAGUUUCCUUGAAAGAAAAAAUCAUAGCUUUGCUUCUAUUACUCAUUUUUGUGUUAUCAACAUUCAUAUCGUAAGUCUUUAGAUUUCCUACAAGUUCAUCCAAGCUCAUGGUUGUCAAAUCCUUUGCUUCUCUAAUUGCAGUGACCUUGAUCUCCCACGACUAGGUAGAGUCCUCAACACUUUAUCAACCUGUUCCUCAGUAGUAUAUAUUUUUCCCAAAGACACCAGUUCAUUCACAAUAGUAGUGAAUCUAGUAAUCAUAUCUUGAAGUGAUUCACCACUAUCCAUCUUAAAUGCUUCAUAUUCAGUGGAUAGUCUUGCAAUUCUAAAUUUUCUUACUUAGGGAGUUCUUUCAUGUGCAUUGACUAUAGUGUCCCAAAUUUGUUUCGCUGUAGUACAACUAGAGAUACGAUUGAACUCGUCAGGUCCAAGUCCACAUACACGGAUACACUUAGCUUUAGCAUUCUUUGCGAGCAUUCUAUAAUCAACUUCUUCAUAUUGAGCCUUGGGCUUUGGAAUGACUUUCCCUUCAUCAUCCUUCAUCAUAGGAAUAAGAGGACCAUCCGUAACUCUCAUCCAUAAUUCAUUGUCAUGGGCUUGUAGAAAAUCCUCCAUUCUCGCCUUCCACCAUGCGUAGUACUGUCCAUUGAAUAGUGGUGGUAUAUUGAUGUGUUGACCUUCAUCGUGUCCAAGAGGAGGUGCAUAAUUCAUAGUGAUCUUAUCUUGAGUUAUUAGACUCUACAAAGAUAACCCGCUCUGAUACCAAUUGUUGGAAUACUGAUCCCCAGAUUUGCCUAAGGAACAAGUAUAUUAUAUAUGUUCCUUUGCAGAUAACAUCAGUUACAUUAUGUAAAGCAAAUAAAAUAAUAACACAAUAUUUUAUUGCGGAAAACCCUGACUCAUAAAGGGUAAAAACUACGACCUACACCUCAGUAGGAUUUAACUCCACUUCAUUAAACUCUGAAGCCUCAACAAAAGAUUACAAACUUAUGUAACCUAAGGAAUUAUAACUAUAAUUCCUAGAUGCCAACAACCAACUAGAUCGUCGACCCCGCUUCAAGUUAUGAAUUCAAAUUACAACUCUUGCAAUCCUAGGAACUAACUCUAAUUCCUAAACUCCAAACACAAACCCCCCAAGGUUUAUGUUCCGAAGUCUUUAAGUUUCCCUAACUUGAAGACUCUAUUCCUACUCCAGUUUAUACUUCACUGGAUCUAGAAAGAAUUAAAGAUACAACUCGAUAUAAACUCAAUACACGCAAACUUUACUUAAGAACUAUAAAACAUAAGACUAUGAAUCAGUUCUUCAAUUCUUGUUUCCGUGCAUUGGCUACACUUCGUAAUCAAAAAUCACUCAAAUAUGACCUCCCUCUAUUUGAUUGUAUUCUUCUUGUAACUCUCUGUUUAAGUGCACAAUUUUCUCUGACGAAAAUAUUUCCCUAUUUAUAGAUUUGAACUCCGCACAGUCUUCCUUCUUCAAGUUGAACUCGACUAUCUUCAUUGUUCUCCUUAUUUGACUUGAACUUGAUUUCCUCAUCUGAUCAUGCUUCCUACUUCAUUCCAGAUUUGAAACCACAUUCACGUCAUUAUACUUCCUUCUUUGCUUAUGCUCCUAUUUCACAAGGAUUUAUUUAUGAAAGGAAACCUUUUAGCACUGGUUUCUUGUCGAAAAAGCAACUCUUUCACCGAUUUAUAACUUCUAAUUCACGUGGUUGACGUUCUCCUUAUCCCAGUCGGAUUUGGUCUGAAAGGAACAUCUCGGCGCAACCGGUUCCUUUCAUCUGUUCCUCUAUUUGUCAAUUAUCAAAAUCUUUCUCGAUCUAACAAAUUGAUCUAACUUUUGUUUAUCUUUCUUUCCUUAUCCCAAUAGAAAGAAAUAAUGCACUGAGAUAGAAUAACAACAAUGAUGCAAGGAAAUGGAAUCAUAACGAUGAUGUAGGAAGUUGGAACAACAACAAUAAUGCUGGGAAAUGGAACAAUAACAACGGAGAAGAUAAUGAUAUAUGCUGGGAGAUGGAACAAUGACAAUACUUGUCGAUAAUGUAAGGAUUUUGGGCACAUGAAGCGAAAUUGUAAAAAAUUAUAGAUUCACAACCAACAGAUUUGGACUGAUACUAUUUCUGCCACUUCUAAUUCACCCUCAACUGUUACAAUCUCUGCCGAUGAGUAUGCCAAACUUACAAAGUAUGACGAAUCAAUGAAUCAAAUUACUCCAGCCGCUGCCCUUACUGAGUUAGGUAACAAAUGUAUCUUUUCCUUCUCAAGCAACUGGAUCAUUGAUUCGAGUGCUAUAGAUUACAUAACAGAUAAUCCCAAUUUUUUUUCUAAAUUCCGAUCACAUUAAGCACCAUCCUCUGUUACCAUAACUUACAGAUCUAGUUAUACCAUUGAGGGAUUUGGGACCGUUUACCCCACUUCAUCUAUUACUUUGUUCUCUGUGCUAGGCUUACCUAGUCUUGCCUUUAAUCUAAUUUAUGUUAGUAAGAUUACCAAAUACCUACAAUGUUUUGUCUCUUUAUCUCCCGAUUAUUGUCUUUUUCAAGAUCUUAUGACAGAGAAGAUUAUUGGUAAAGGACAUGUAUCAGACGGUCUCUACAUUCUUGAUGAAUGGAUGCCCCGUUAGUGUCACGACCCGAUCCUACACCCUGUACAUGGCCGGCACUCAAGAACCAUUUCUGGUCCCCAAGCGAACCCUCAUCAUGGAUGAAUACAAGGGGAAAACUAACUCAAGUAUACAAAAGCUUAAAAUUGAAUUAAAUUCAAUAAACUCAACUUUAAAAAUAAUCUGAACAAUACUCAAUAGAUAACUCAGAGUUUGUAAAAAAAACUCAAAGAAGAUAAAUAUUGAAAAUUACUCAACUUUGUCUAUCUAUGAAGCCUCUACUAUUACAGAAGGAUGUCGGGACAAAACCCAUGACAUCUCAAAACUACUAACUGUAAGAUAAAGGUGAAGUCCUCCGAAAUAUAAUAAGGCUCACCAAAGAUUACUGAACUGCAAGUGGUAUCAACGAAGCUUCUAUUGAUGACCCUGAAUACUUGUAUCUGCAUUAUAAAAUAUGCAGGCCAAAUAAAGUAAGUACAUGGAAUGUACGAGCAUGUAAGGGGAACUCUAAAUCAUAAACAUAUGCUUGAACUGAUGGAAAAGAAACAUACUUACCUCUUCUCAACUCACUCAACUCAACUCAACUCAAAGAUACAUAGUUCAACUCAACUCGGAGAAAAUAGUUCAACUCAACUCAGAGAAAAAAGAGCUUAACCCAAUGAUAAGAUAUUCAACUCAGUAAAAUAAGGCUCAACUCGAUAAUAAGAUACUAGUCUCUGUGAAAAAAGGCUUAACCCCAAUAAUGAGAUGCUCGACUCUGUAUACUCAACUCAAUAUAAAGCAAUAAUAAAAGAUGCAAUAUAUGGAAAGAUUUUAAAACAAUAGAUAACAACUCAAUGUAUUAAAGACUACAAUAAUAACUCAGUUUGUAUAUAAAAAUACAAUAUAACUCUGUGUGGGAAAUUUUCUAACCGACAAUCAUCACUAUGAGCUAUGUGAUGAUACAAGAGCCUACGCUACAAGAACUGUCCUAUACUUUGCCAGCAUAUAUAACCUACUACUAAGUGGAUACACUAGUCUAUCCUAAAAAACAUUAAGGAAUAAUCUAAAAAGUAUGACCCUUUAAUUUCUACCCACGUUGGCUACAUGGUUUAUGAGGACUUUGAGUUAUCUGAACUCGUUCCCAUAUCGGUGCUCAAUACUACUCCCAAAAUAUAACUAGCUCAUAUGUUUAAAAACAUAACUUUUUCUGUGGUUUGAGAUUUUUACUCAAAAAUCUUUCUCUGAAAAGAGAUGGUACUCAAAAUUGCUCAAAACUCUUUUGGAAAUCAGUGUUUCCUCUCAUCUUAGAUGUGGAAAUAUUUACUCUUGGGAAUACUUAGUUCCCAUAAAUCAUUUUAAAGAAAAUGAAAUCAACUCUAAUCUUUCUCAAACUCAAUUGUUCAAGUCUUAAAACAAGUUUAGAAAAAAUUGUAAAAGACUUCUCAAAAUAGGGUUCAUGCCGAAUUAUGGACGUGAACAACUCAAUUCAAGGUGUUGACACCCAAUUUUGGCCCUUCACAAUAUAAAUUAAUCAUUGAGCUUCUUCAAUUUCAAGCGAUUUAAAAUAAUUAGUUUUAGAAAUUUACAAAAAUAAUAAUAAUAAUAAUAAUAAUAAUAAUAAUAAUAAUAAUAAUAAUAAUAAUAAUAAUAAUAAUAAUAAUAAUAAUAAUAAUAAUAAUAAUAAUAAUAAUAAUAAUAAUAAUAAUAAUAAUAAUAAUAAUAAUAAUAAUAAUAAUAAUAAUAAUAAUAAUAAUAAUAAUAAUAAUAAUAAUAAUAAUAAUAAUAAUAAUAAUAAUAAUAAUAAUAAUAAUAAUAAUAAUAAUAAUAAUAAUAAUAAUAAUAAUAAUAAUAAUAAUAAUAAUAAUAAUAAUAAUAAUAAUAGUUUGCAGGUUAUUUUUAAAUGUUUUGUCGCCUUUUUAUAAUUUUUGAAUAAUAUACAUGUUUACAUAAUUAAGUAUAUAGUUGGAAUAUUUUAUGAAUAUUUGAAAAUCGUCUCCAAAAGAUUUUAUUUCUUACUUAAAUAUUUUAACUUAAUCCAUGAGUUAAUAUAUAAGUUAGGUUUAUAUUUUGAGUUAAUUAGUUUGUAAUAAAAUUAUUAUUAUAUUUCGUUAAGAUUAAGAAGCUCGUUAAUUAAUUAAAUUAAUUCAUUCUAUUUUAAUUUUAGCCGAAUUCGCUGAAUCAACUCAAUUUGGCUACUUUUCAAAUUUUAAUGGGCUACAAUUACAAUACAUUUGGCCAAUUCCAAAACUCCAAACUUCAAUCUUCAGCUCACCUUUCAACCAAAUUGGGCUGAUUUCAUUGACCCAAUUAACAACCCAUACAUUCUUUUUAAUACCAAGCCCAAAACCCUUCAAUACAAAGAAGCCCAUCAACCCUCCAAGACUCUUAACAAAAAUAUCCAACAAUACAAUACAUACAGCCACAAUACAUACCAAACCGACCCUACCCGCCCCUGCGUCUUCUUCUCCUUUUACAAAACCAAACCGACUUCACACCAAGAAUCCCAGAAAUCCAGCGUCCAGUCGCAUCAAUCCGGCAAAUCCGGAGAAAAAUUGUCGUCCUCCUCGCUUGCAACGCCCAACUACCCUCACGUCCCCUUUUCAGGGAUUUCUGAAUCUCUCCACGGUUGCUUCGAAAAGAGCAAUUCAAAAUUCAAAUUACAAUUGUUUCCCACUAAUUUCCGUCUAUAUAUUCAUCUCUUUGGGUCACAAGAAGGGAGGAGGAAAAAAAAUAAAAUAUUAAGAGUUGGCUAAGUGUUGAGAGGAAGAAAUAUACCUAAACCAAAAAUCUUUAAAGUUGAUCGGAUCAGUUUCGCUCGUUUUUGUCUUGUUCAUCCGAGUUUUUUCGGAGUCGUGUUUCGGUGGAAGAAUCGCUGCCUUCCUUUGCUCGUCGUCUCAAUCGCUGCUCCAAGAAAGGUAACUUCGCCUCCUCUAACAUUCUUUUUUUUUAUAUGAUGUGUUGUGUUCGAUACUUGAUAUGGAGUUUGUUAUUAAGAAUGUUUGGUUCCCCUGGUCUUAGGCUUUUGCUUUAGUACUGAUUUCCUGUGCGAUUUUUUUAGCAGUAGGCAUGAUUCAGGCAUCAACAAAGUCACUUUAGCAUUAUAUGUUGGUUGUUAUAUUCAUUAGCUUAGUUUUGUAUCUAUGAAGUUAGCUAAUUUGCUACUCGGUGUUGCUCGUAUGUUUUAGCACUGAUUUUCCUUACUUUGUUCUCAUUAGUAAAUCUUUUAGUCUUGUUGUUCAAGCUCAUAAAAAUGAUUAGGAGGUCAUGGGAUUUACUUCAACAAUUACCAAAGUAGUAUCAUUAUUGUUGUUAUUUCUGCAUAUGUUUUCCAGUGAGCUUAGGAAUAUGUUUUGUUUCUCUUGAUUGCUUUUCUUUUCUUCACUUGUCCAACUUAAGUGAACUUGUUUUCUUCUCUGUUUUGAACAUGUCCAGUUGCAGCUCUAUGUUAUUCAUAAUUUGUUAUCUUUAUUUUACACUAGUUAAGUCCUUAGACUGCUACUAAUUCGAAUUUAAGAUAGAUUAUGUAGCCAUCCUUUUGUAUACGUGUCCGUCUUCUAAUAUAUUUACUUGCAAUUUGAGCUUACUGUUGCCUACAAUAUUAUUAAAAAGAGUACUAAUUAAAAUUAUUAUGUCCAUUUGCUCCAUUAUCUUGUGAAAUCUCAUAUUCUCCCUACUAAUUCUUAUCAUAUGUUGUGCAUGAAUGAACCUCCUCGCAUGAGUCCAUUGGGACUCCGUCUCCUAUUGCAUUUCUCCUAAGUUGGGCCAAGCCCAAAAUCCUCUUGAGUCUGCCUCGUUAUGAAAGCUGAAGUGCAGGGCUGGAGACUGAUGUAUAGCUGCCCGGAAGUCCAAAAAGCAGGCUGUAUACACGUUAUUUACAGAGGAAUAUGCAAAAUAUACAAUGCUAUACAGGUCGAAAAGUGUGAAAAUACAGGGCUAAGGCGAAAUACAGUUAUUCGGAAGCAAGAAGUACAUGAAAAGGGCUGAUAUACAUGCCGAUAUACACUGAUAUACAUCAGCUGUAUACCAAAAAACGGGAUUGAGUAAAAUCUCCAGAAAUUACAGCGAAAUUGGCCCAAAAAAGGAGGCCCAAAUUCAAUUUCUAACUUAUUUAAUUGUGUGAUUACUUAUUUAUUUGUUUUGUUUUUUAUUUGCGACUUAAUUUAAUUAAAUUCCCCAAAAGAUAAACCAUAUUCUUUAUGUUACUUUCUUUAAAAAUAAUUCAUUUUUAUCAACUCUUAUGCUUAUUCAAAUAUUUUUUAGUCAAAAACUUUCACUUAUCUUUAAUUAGAUUAAAAUAAUGUCUUGGUUUGUCUACCAAGUUGGUUCGAAUUAUUAUUUCUAAAAAUGACAUAAUAAAUUUUAAUUUUGUUAAAAUCCUAAUUGACCAAGUUGUUUACAAUUUAAGAUCCAAUUUUCCAAAAAUUUAAAAAUUAUUCUUUAUUUAACUAUUUUUUUUAAAAAAGUUAAUCUUAUAAUGUAAAACAUUAUUAUAAAUACUUACUGAAGUCAUUUUCUCAAAAAGGGUUAGUCAAUUAAUAAGAAAUGGUUUUCAUGUUUUAAUUUAUUAAAUUGGUUUAAAAUGAAUUAAAUAAAUUCUAAUUAAUUUAAUUUUAUUAAUAAUCUAAUCACUUGUAUUUCGAGUCGAAUGUAUCAUCUUGGAUCCUUUCCUCUAAAAAAUGAAAUGAAAUAAAAUGCGUCAUUUAUUUAACUAUUUUCUUAAUCAAAUAUAUCAUAAGUUAUUAUUUUUUAUGUUAAAUUAUUAAUUUUAUUUUUUUCUAAAAAAUAGUCAAGUAUAUUUUAGUCAAGUCGUAGGUCAACCGCAUGUUAGCGGACACUUCGAAUGCUUAAACCCUUCUCGAAGUGUAAAUUGAACCCCAAACCUUCUUUGCUAUUUUCAAAUGAUUUUUUCUGUUUAAAUCUUUGAAAAUUAUAAGUUUUCUUAAUUUCUUUAAAAAAUUUAAGUGGUGACUCUUUUUAAGUAUUUCUCAAAUUGUUUUAUACUUAGAACAUUUCAAAAGUGAUUUUUCUAAAGGUUAGGAAAAUUACGGUACAACUGAAAAGGUUUUCAAUAACCAUACAUAGAACUCAAUACUCGAAACUCAACAACUCAGAACUCAAGAACUUCAGUGAGACUACUUAUUUCAAGAAUGUUCAACUUAGAGGGUUAAUGCAAAAUUAUGUGCAUGAGCAACUCAAGUCAAGGACUUCAUGAUACUACUCAUCUCAAGAAUGCUCAACUCAUAAGGUUCAUGCGGAAUUAUGGGAAUGAACAACUCAACUCAAGGACUUCAUGGGUAACAUGUAGUAGUCCCAUGAUUAGGAAUAUAAUCUCAAAAAGGGUUAGGAAUUCAAUACUAAAGACUUAGAACUUGAAGAUACUACUCCUCUCAAAGAUGCUCAAUUUAUGAAGUCCAUGUGGAAUUUAUGGGCAUGAACGACUCGACUCUAGGGUCUACAUAACAAUAUGGAUCUCAUGUAUACGACUCUUCUCAUUCUAAUACUUCCUUCCUCAAAACUUAGCUCAAAUCGAUAGUUGAUCACAAGGUAUUCACAUUGAACUCAAAGACUUUCUUGAACUCUACUCAAAGGAUCUCAUGAUGAUAAUGUAGACUCAUGAAUACCUUAUACUCAUUCUCAUACUCACUUUCUCAAUUCUUGAAACAAGUUAUUUGAAAUUGUAAAAGAUUCCUCAAAAAAAAUCAAAGGGACUUUCUCAAAAUGUUCGAAAGAACUCUCAAGACUUAACUUUUAACUCUACCUUGAAUUUGAAUUAUGAAUUAAAGGUUAUGAUUCAUGCUAUUAAUGAUUUCUAGGUGUUUAGAAGUAGUUUAGAGUAGUUAGAAUCAAAUGGGAGUGAAGAUACACUUCAAAAGGACUCAGACGGGACAAUCGAUGGAAAAUGAGUGGGGGCAGGCGAUCCUGGCGCAUUGCUGACGCAAAAAGUAAGAGUGUCAGCCCCUAAACUUCAAAGACAUGAUAUUAGCGCACUGCUGAGGUGCCGCCCCAGCCCCCACCUGGUGCAUCUCGGGCCCGCUGCCCCAGCCCCUUCCAGAACUCUCCGAUGAAUUUUCUUCUUUGAUUUUUGGCCCUAAUUCGCCAAGAAUCAAAUGAUUUCUUCCCAAUUCACUUAGAUUCAAAUACCCAACAUAAGUACACAAAAAUAUACUAAAAAACAACCCUCAAAUUCAAAGAAUUUAUCUCAAGAACUCAUCAAACACAUCCCAAUUCAAGAACGAAAGCAAAACUUCAAAAACACUCAUCAUGAACUUAAAUCUUUCAAUCUUUAUGGACAAAUUCGAAUAUGUAAAUCAUGAUUGCCGUGUGGAUGAACAAAUCCAACACUAUGGAACUCACAUACCUCUUAGAGAUCAAAUCCUGGGAGAGGGAUUGACUUGAGGAGGACCUGAUGACGAAAGAGUUGGUGCAGGACAUGUAUCAUUGGUCGCUUGUCGGCUGGAUACUGUCGACCAAGGUAAUGGUUUUAAACUUAAGGGACAUGGUAGGGGUCAAGCUUAACCCCAUACACCUAUGGCACACAACCAAGGUGAUGGUUUAAUAUAAAAUAAAAACUUAAGGGGGUUAAUAUUAUAGGAUAAAAAUCUAAAAUCGAAUCAUUUGUAAAAAAAUUAAGGGUCAUUUGUAAAAGGAUUCACCAAACAUCUUCAUUCUCCAACAAUGAUCCUCGUCUUCAAAUUGUGGUUUGUGCCUUUAAAUUGCUAUUGUUGAAUUUGUCCUCCCCUCUCCCCUAUUAAGCUGUAAUUAUGUCGUAGAUUCUGUAUAAAUUCAAUCGAAGGGUCGUUAAGAAGGUAGUAAUCUUUGAUGAAACUCCAACAAAACUUGAAAGUCGGAAGAAUGACAGGAAAAAAUUCUAAAGAGAAGGUGUGACAGAAGUAAAUAAAAAAUGGAAGAACUUAUAUAGAUUUUGGAAAAGAAGCAUCAGUCUUGCCUUGAUAGUGGGCCAUGCUUUUUUACCAAUCACAGGAAGACAAGUGCUCAAAGCAUAAAAGGCGAAGGGACAUGUGUCACGUCAAGAAAUGUCGGAGGACUUCUCAUUUGCUUUCGUCCAAGAAUUGAAAUGUUUUCCAUUUUUCUGUCACAAUUAUUUGAGUACCCAAAAAAAAAAAAGGGACUAUCUAUAUAGGGCAAAACUCAAAGUCGAUAGAUUGGCAAAAGUGACAGGUUAGGCGUGAAUAAGAGAUCGAUGCCACAAUGUGAGCCGNNNNNNNNNNNNNNNNNNNNNNNNNNNNNNNNNNNNNNNNNNNNNNNNNNNNNNNNNNNNNNNNNNNNNNNNNNNNNNNNNNNNNNNNNNNNNNNNNNNNUCAAAAAUCUUUCUCUGAAAAGAGAUGGUACUCAAAACUGCUCAAAACUCUUAUGGAAAUCGGUGUUUCCUCUCAUCUUAAAUAUGGAAAAAUUUACUCUUGGGAAUACUUAGUUCCCAUAAAUCAUUUUAAAGAAAAUGAAAUCAACUCUACUCUUUCUCAAACUCAGUUGUUCAAGUCUUAAAACAAGUUUAGAAAAAAUUGUAAAAGACUUCUCAAAAUAGGGUUCAUGCCGAAUUAUGGACGUGAACAACUCAAAUUCAAGGUUUUCAAUAACUAUACAUAGAACUCAAUACUCGAAACUCAACAACUCAGAACUCAAGAACUUCAGUGAGACUACUUAUUUCAAGAAUGUUCAACUUAGAGGGUUAAUGCAAAAUUAUGGGCAUGAGCAACUCAACUCAAGAACUUCAUGAUACUACUCAUCUCAAGAAUGCUCAACUCAUAAGGUUUAUGCGGAAUUAUGGGAAUGAACAACUCAACUCAAGGACUUCAUGGGUAACAUGUAAUAGUCCCAUGAUUAGGAAUAUAAUCUCUAAAGGGUAAGGAAUUCAAUACUAAAGACUUAGAACUUGAAGAUACUACUCCUCUCAAAGAUGCUCAAUUUAUGAAGUCCAUGCGGAAUUUAUGGGCAUAAACGACUCGACUCUAGGGUCUGCAUAACAAUAUGGAUCUCAUGUAUACGAAUCUUCUCAUUCUCAUACUUACUUCCUCAAAACUUAGCUCAAAUCGAUAGUUGAUCACAAGGUAUUCACAUUGAACUCAAAGACUUUCUUGAACUCUACUCAAAGGAUCUCAUGAUGAUAAUGUAGACUCAUGAAUACCUUCUCCUCAUUCUCAUACUCACUUGCCCAAUUCUUGAAACAAGUUAUUUGAAAGUGUAGAAGAUUCCUCAAAAAAAAUCAAAGGGACUUUCUCAAAAUGUUCGAAAGAACUCUCAAGACUUAACUCUUAACUCUACCUUGAAUUUGAAUUAUGAAUUAAAGGUUAUGAUUCAUGAUAUUAAUGAUUUCUAGAUGUUUAGAAGUAGUUUAGAGUAGUUAGAAUCAAAUGGGAGUGAAGAUACACUGCAAAAGGACUCAGACGGGACAACCGAUGGAAAAUGAGUGGGGGCAGGCGAUCCUGGCGCAUUGCUGGCGCGAGGCGCCAGCCCCUAAAAUUCAGAGACAUGAUAUUGGUGCACUGCUGAGGCGCCGCCCCAGCCCCCACCUGGUGCAUCUCGGGCCCGCUGCCCCAGCCCCUUCCAGAACUCUCCGAUGAAUUUUCUUCUUUGAUUUUUGGCCCUAAUUCGCCUAGAAUCAAAUGAUUUCUUCCCAAUUCACUUAGAUUCAAAUACCCAACAUAAGUACACAAGAAUAUACUAAAAAACAACCCUCAAAUUCAAAGAAUUUAUCUCAAGAACUCAUCAAACACAUCCUAAUUCAAGAACGAAAGCAAAACUUCAAGAACACUCAUCAAGAACUUAAAUCUUUCAAUCUUUAUGGACAAAUUUGAAUAUGUAAAUCAUGAUUGCCGUGUGGAUGAACAAACCCAACACUAUGGAACUCACAUACCUCUUAGGGAUCAAAUCCUGGGAGAGGGAUUGACUUGAGGAGGACCUGAUGGCAAAAGAGUUAGUGCAGGACAUGUAUCAUUGGUCGCUUGUCGGCUGGAUACUGUCGACCAAGGUAAUGGUUUUAAACUUAAGGGACAUGGUAGCUUAACCCCAUACACCUAUGGCACACAACCAAGGUGAUGAUUUAAUAUAAAAUAAAAACUUAAGAGGGUUAAUAUUAUAGGAUAAAAAUCUAAAAUCGAAUCAUUUGUAAAAUAUUAAGGGUCAUUUGUAAAAGGAUUCACCGAACAUCUUCAUUCUCCAACAAUGAUCCUCGUCCUCAAAUUGUGGUUUGUGCCUUUAAAUUGCUAUUGUAGACUUUGUCCUCCCCUCUCCCCUAUUAAGCUGUAAUUAUGUCGUAGAUUCUGGAUAAAUUCAGUCGAAGGGUCGUUAAGAAGGUGGUAAUCUUUGAUGAAACUCCAGCAAAACUUGAAAGUCGGAAGAAUGACAGGAAAAAAUUCUAAAGAGAAGGUGUGAUGGAAGUAAAUAAAAAAUGGAAGAACUUAUAUAGAUUUUGGAAAAGAAGCAUCAGUCUUGCCUUGAUAGUGGGCCAUGCUUUUUUACCAAUCACAGGAAGACAAGUGCUCAAAGCAUAAAAGGCGAAGGGACAUGUGUCACGUCAAGAAAUGUCGGAGGACUUCUCAUUUGCUCUCGUCCAAGAAUUGAAAUGUUUUCCAUUUUUCUGUCACAAUUAUUUGAGUACCCAAAAAAAAAAUAAGGGACUAUCUAUAUAGGGCAAAACUCAAAGUCGAUAGAUUGGCAAAAGUGACAGGUCAGGCGUGAAUAAGAGAUCGAUGCCACAAUGUGAGCCCACCUAGCUCUGAAGAUGCAUCAACAGAUAUGAGACACAAAUAAAAUAAGGUAAGUUUGAAGUUCAACCAUUACAAGAAAGUUCAGGAUUAGUGUCAACUGUUACAGAGCAGCAAUAAUGAGUAUGAAUAGGUUUUUAUUAACUAUAGUUUUUAAACAUUAGCGGCUAAAUAUAGUUAUUUCCUUAAUCUUCCCUUUUUAUCUGCUAAUUUUUUAAGCAGUUCUAAGAAAAUUGAUAGUUAAUUACUAUUUACUGCUAAUGGUAUUGAUUCAUAUUAGGUUUAAGCUGGUUUUCACAAUACGUGGGAGUAAAAAAAUAUUAGUCUAACUCCUAUGAACAAAUAGGAAAUUUCCUCGUUCACGAUUGAUUUGCUUAUUUGCGACAACAAUUAAAGAGCAAUUUAUAUGGUUAUAUAUACUUUAGUAGAAUAAUUUAAUUUUAAUAUAUGAAUAACAUCACCUAUGGUGAUUUCAGUAAGUUUCUGCCUUAUCUUUGUGAAAAGUAAAAAUAUGUGGAUCAAUUCAUAGAAAAUGAAGAAGGAAGGCGAAAAUAUAUGUUUAUGCAAUAUUAACCCUAGUGUUUCAUUUGAUUGAAAUCUCUUGCCACCAACACUUUACUUUUUCCAUUCAUUUUUACUUACAUAUCUAUUUAAAAUAAUUAUUAUCAUAUUAUAAGUAUAAGUGAAAUCUAUUUUUGAAAUGAUAGACUUAACAUCGAAACUACUAAUUCAAUGGACAACGUUGAUGCCUGAUGUUUUAGCAAAAUUAGGAAGAAACUACUUCAUUUGAGGCUAAAAGAAUAAGAAAUGGAAUUAUAAAGAAGAAAUAUCUUACCCCAAUCAUGUGCCUUUUUUUAUUUGCUUAUUAUUACUGUCUCUCCACAUCUUUAUCUAUUUAUUUUAUUAGAAAAAAUAAUCCACAAUGUGUGUAUUUAAAUUCUCGCUCGAAUGAAAACACAAAAGAAACUAUUAAAAAGACAAAAUAAAUGAAAAUUCUCGAACACUAUAUAUAGAAGAUUUUUGUAUUAAGAAAAGUUCAAUGAUAAUUGCAUAUUUCUUUGUUCUCUUCUUUCUUUCUUUAAUAGAAACUCAGUAGCAAAAUUCCAAUGCUAAGAACUUCGGCAAAACAUAUCAAUGUACUGGGGAUGAAUCAUUUAUGAAAAUUUUAAAUGAUCUCAAAUUGUCACAGAAAAGAGAUCCCCAAGAAUUUAUAAGGAUUGAAUGGUUGUCAAUUAUGACUGAAGAAACAUGAAG
RNAcentral lists this long non-coding RNA (16246 nucleotides) under Solanum tuberosum (potato). RNAcentral describes it as "long non-coding RNA (STUB_LNC006573)". The record is from RNAcentral. Lineage: Eukaryota; Viridiplantae; Streptophyta; Magnoliopsida; Solanales; Solanaceae.